GACGAACGCUGGCGGCGUGCUUAACACAUGCAAGUCGAACGGAAAGGCCCUGCUUUUGUGGGGUGCUCGAGUGGCGAACGGGUGAGUAACACGUGAGUAACCUGCCCUUGACUUUGGGAUAACUUCAGGAAACUGGGGCUAAUACCGGAUAGGAGCUCCUGCUGCAUGGUGGGGGUUGGAAAGUUUCGGCGGUUGGGGAUGGACUCGCGGCUUAUCAGCUUGUUGGUGGGGUAGUGGCUUACCAAGGCUUUGACGGGUAGCCGGCCUGAGAGGGUGACCGGCCACAUUGGGACUGAGAUACGGCCCAGACUCCUACGGGAGGCAGCAGUGGGGAAUAUUGCACAAUGGACGGAAGCCUGAUGCAGUAACGCCGCGUGCGGGAUGACGGCCUUCGGGUUGUAAACCGCUUUCGCCUGUGACGAAGCGUGAGUGACGGUAAUGGGGAAAGAAGCACCGGCUAACUACGU
This 467-nucleotide ribosomal RNA is filed under the name uncultured bacterium. RNAcentral's name for it is "partial 16S ribosomal RNA". It matches the Rfam family "Bacterial small subunit ribosomal RNA", at positions 28 to 506 of the family's 1533-position model. The record is from RNAcentral.